AUCCCAUUGAGGAAUCUAUGACCUACGAUAGGAAGUGCCGUAUGACACUGUAAACAGCAGCUGCUUUUCUCCUUUGCUAGUGGCCAUCCUUCGACCAUAACCUUGGUGGUUUGGUCUGGGAUUGACAACCCUUGCAUCGUGUUUAAUUCAGCUGUGUGCGUGAUUUUAAAUGGGUCUCUGAGGGAU
RNAcentral lists this small nucleolar RNA (186 nucleotides) under Leersia perrieri. RNAcentral describes it as "snoRNA snoZ112". It matches the Rfam family "Small nucleolar RNA Z112". From Rfam's summary of the family: Z112 is a member of the C/D class of snoRNA which contain the C (UGAUGA) and D (CUGA) box motifs. Most of the members of the box C/D family function in directing site-specific 2'-O-methylation of substrate RNAs. The record is from Rfam by way of RNAcentral. Lineage: Eukaryota; Viridiplantae; Streptophyta; Magnoliopsida; Poales; Poaceae.